AUAAAAAGAUAUUAAAAUAUUAUGAGACGAGUUAUAUAGUGGGACGGGUUUGCAUUGAUAUAACGCGGGUUAAAUCUUUAUUUAUUAUUCUAUCAUCACUAAUU
This 104-nucleotide small RNA is filed under the name Arabidopsis thaliana (thale cress). RNAcentral's name for it is "ATSL226350". The record is from RNAcentral. Lineage: Eukaryota; Viridiplantae; Streptophyta; Magnoliopsida; Brassicales; Brassicaceae.